GAUGAACGCUGGCGGCGUGCUUAACACAUGCAAGUCGAACGAAGCACUUUAUUUGAUUUUCUUCGGAAAUGAAGAUUCUGUGACUGAGUGGCGGACGGGUGAGUAACGCGUGGGUAACCUGCCUCAUACAGGGGGAUAACAGUUGGAAACGACUGCUAAUACCGCAUAAGCCCACGGAACCGCAUGGUCCUGAGGAAAGGAUUUAUUCGCUUCAGGAUGGACUCGCGUCCAAUUAGCUAGUUGGUGAGGUAACGGCCCACCAAGGCGAGGAUGUGUAGCCGACCUGAGAGGGUNACCGGCCACAAUGGGACUGAGAUACGGCCCAGACUCCUACGGGAGGCAGCAGUGGGAAUAUUGGGCAAUGGACGCAAGUCUGACCCAGCAACGCCGCGUCGAAGGAAGAAGGCUUUCGGGUUGUAAACUUCUUUUAAGGGGGAACAGUAGAAGAGGUACCCCGUUGAAUAAGCCACGGCUAACUACGUG
This 483-nucleotide ribosomal RNA is filed under the name uncultured bacterium. RNAcentral describes it as "bacterial SSU rRNA". It matches the Rfam family "Bacterial small subunit ribosomal RNA", at positions 28 to 507 of the family's 1533-position model. The record is from RNAcentral.